GGACGAUUAGCUCAGUUGGCUAGAGCGUUACAUUGACAUUGUAAAGGCCACAGGUUCGAGUCCUGUAUCGUCCACCA
RNAcentral lists this transfer RNA (77 nucleotides) under Candidatus Roizmanbacteria bacterium CG_4_10_14_0_2_um_filter_39_12. RNAcentral describes it as "tRNA-Val". It matches the Rfam family "tRNA". From Rfam's summary of the family: Transfer RNA (tRNA) molecules are approximately 80 nucleotides in length. Their secondary structure includes four short double-helical elements and three loops (D, anti-codon, and T loops). Lineage: Bacteria; Candidatus Roizmaniibacteriota. RNAcentral also lists the same sequence under 2 other names. The record is from RNAcentral.